Molecule: ribosomal RNA, 165 nt
Filed under: uncultured bacterium
Lineage: Bacteria
Description: partial 16S rRNA
Rfam family: Bacterial small subunit ribosomal RNA
Source: RNAcentral
UAGGGAACCUUCGGCAAUGGACGAAAGUCUGACCGAGCAACGCCGCGUGAGUGAAGAAGGUUUUCGGAUCGUAAAACUCUGUUGGUAGAGAAGAACGUUGGUGAGAGUGGAAAGCUCAUCAAGUGACGGUAACUACCCAGAAAGGGACGGCUAAAUACGUGCCAG